RNAcentral lists this long non-coding RNA (572 nucleotides) under Felis catus (domestic cat). RNAcentral's name for it is "lncRNA (ENSFCAG00000050720.1)". The record is from RNAcentral. Lineage: Eukaryota; Metazoa; Chordata; Mammalia; Carnivora; Felidae.
AACCCCCAUCAUCCAGACUGGGCCCCCAUCAUCCAGACUGGACCCUGUCAUCCAGACUGGACCCCCAUCAUCCAGACUGGGUCCCCGUCAUCCAGACUGGGUCCCCGUCAUCCAGACUGGACCCCAUCAUCCAGACUGGGCCCCCGUCAUCCAGACCGGACCCCGACAUCCAGACUGGACCACAUCAUCCAGACUGGACCCCAUCAUCCAGACUGGGUCCCCAUCAUCCAGACUGGACCACAUCAUCCGGACUGGACCUUGUCAUCCAGACUGGACCCCCAUCAUCCAGACAGGACCCCCAUCAUCCAGACUGGACCCCGUCGUCCAGACGGGGAAAUUGGCCUUCUUUCUGUGUGAUUUUAUUAGCUCAUCUUCGUCAUCUGGGAUUUUGUUGACCUCCAAACAAGCAAUCAUUGUAAAGUUAAGGUAACGCUUUGUCUUUCUAGUACAAUACAAAUAGGCAAUUCUUAGAAAAAAUUGAGGUUGUGGCAUUAGGAAAAGGGUAGAGUUGACGGAGUGAAACAGUGUGUGACUUUGGGAAAUUCAAAUACUGAAUUUAAAAUUAAAGAUGC